RNAcentral lists this ribosomal RNA (454 nucleotides) under Entrophospora claroidea. RNAcentral's name for it is "partial large subunit ribosomal RNA". It matches the Rfam family "Eukaryotic large subunit ribosomal RNA", at positions 358 to 668 of the family's 3401-position model. Lineage: Eukaryota; Fungi; Glomeromycota; Glomeromycetes; Entrophosporales; Entrophosporaceae. The record is from RNAcentral.
GGAAAGAUGAAAAGAACUUUGAAAAGAGAGUUAAACAGUACGUGAAAUUGUUGAAAGGGAAACGAUUGAAGUCAGUCGUGCUGGCGCGAAAUCAACCCUCUCGUCGAGAGGACACAUGGCGUGGCGAGCCUCAAAACCGUCACGAAGCGUGAACUCUUGGCGAAAAGGAGCACUUUCGUGUCCGCUGGUUAACAUCAAUUUCGAACGUCAUAAAAAGGCUGGAGGGAUGUGGCUCCUUCGGGAGUGUUAUAACCUUUAGCGGAAUGUGGUGGUCGGGAUUGAGGAUUGCAACGAAUACCUUUAGGGCUGUUCCACCUGGCUUCUCUUUGGCAUCCUGGUGACGACAGCUUGCUGACGUUGUUAGGAAUCGCCUUUGAACAGGCUAGAGUGUGAGCAAAUUCGUUAAGGAUGUUAACGUAAUGGCUUGGAAAGAUGCGUCUUGAAACACGGACCA